RNAcentral lists this ribosomal RNA (440 nucleotides) under uncultured bacterium. RNAcentral's name for it is "bacterial SSU rRNA". It matches the Rfam family "Bacterial small subunit ribosomal RNA", at positions 91 to 518 of the family's 1533-position model. The record is from RNAcentral.
UAGAGCGGCGGACGGGUGAGUAACACGUGGACAAUCUGCCCCCCGGCCCGGGAUAGCCCAGGGAAACCUGGAUUAAUACCGGAUGAGGCGGGACCCGCGAUGGCGGGACCCGGGAAAGGCGCUGCGGCGCCGCCGGGGGAUGAGUCUGCGUCCCAUUAGCUAGACGGCGGGGUAAGGCCCACCGUGGCGACGAUGGGUAGCCGGCCUGAGAGGGUGACGGCCACAUUGGAACUGAGACACGGUCCAGACUCCUACGGGAGGCAGCAGCUAAGAAUCUUCCGCAAUGGGCGAAAGCCUGACGGAGCGAACCGCCGCGUGAACGAAGAAGGCCGUGAGGUUGUAAAGUUCUUUUCGGGAGGGGGAACAACCGUGGCAGGGAAUGGCCGCGGGAUGACGUGAAUCCCGGAAUAAGCCCCGGCUAACUACGUGCCAGCAGCAGC